UCCGAAUUUUGCCGAAAAGUAGAGCCAAAAGCACAAAGUCUUUUAACUGCGAAUUUUACUAAAUCAUAAUUUAAUAUAUGAUGACCGCGUGUACAACUUAUUCUGAUAACCCCUCAAUCAAACAACUAUAUAAUAAAGCAGUGUUUAAUUAGGGUAAUUAGUACAAAAAUGGUGAAACUAUACUUGUGUUUACUUUUGGCAACUGCCAACUUUUUCGCCUUAAUUGACGGUAAAACAAGUACUUUGGAACUAGUCCACGUGCUUUUCAGACACGGAGAUCGCACUCCUGACAGGCAUGUAAUCUAUCCUAAGGAUCCACACAUUAAUGAGACUUACUAUCCUUUCGGUUUUGGCCAACUUACCAAUGCUGGAAAACGGAAACAAUACUUACUAGGAAAAGCUUUACAUAAACGAUACAAGAAAUUUUUGGGCACUUAUACUUUAAACACAAUCGAUGCCCGUUCUACUGAUUACAACAGGACGAAAAUGUCGUUACAACUCGUCUUGGCUUCAUUAUUUCCACCAGAAAAAGAAUUAAUCUGGGAGAAAAAUCUGCAUUGGCAACCCAUUCCGUUUAAUUAUUUUCACCUCGAUGACGAUUACGUUUUGGGCGACCCUUUUAAAAACUGCAAACGGUACAAAAAUAGUUACAAUAAUUUUUUAAAUUCACUAGAUGGGCAAAAAUUGUUUGAACAAUAUUCAGAUAUUAAGAAAUACAUCAUCGACAAUAGUGGUUCAAAUUUUACGAGUAAGAAAAUGGCCGAUAUGUAUUUUACUUUGACGACGGAGCAAGAAAAUGGUCUUGUCUUGCCAGCCUGGACUGAAAAAGUUUACCCCAAAGUUUUAAGUGACUUAACUCACUUGGAAUAUUUUCUAAGUACUGCAAACACGGAAUUGAAAAAAUUGGCUUCAGGAUUUUUGUUGAAGAAAAUUAUUUACGACUCCGAGCAAAAAAUCAAGAAUAUGUUGCAUCAAAGAAAACGCAUGUUUAUAUAUUCAGCCCACGAAUACAAUAUCGCCCAUUUGAUGUAUCUUUUAGGAAUUUAUUAUCCUCAUGUUCCACCUUAUGGUUCUUAUAUGUUGAUUGAAAUUCACAACAUUAAAGGAAUUCGCAUCGUCAAAGUUUUUUAUCAAGAUUACAGGACAGAAAAGCCAAAACGGAUGAAACUGCCAAAUUGUAACAAUUUCUGUCGAUUUGAACGUUUCGUUAACCUCUAUAAAAAGUAUUUGCCUGAGUCUAGAAACGAGUGCGAACUUGCAGAUUAGAGGAUAAAAUAGAGGAUAAAUCAGUCUCAGAAAUUAUUUGACUAGUCAAGUAAUAGUUUUGUUCCUUAAGACAAAUAUAUUUAACUUUAUAAGUUAAUUUAAACAUCCGUAAUCCCAAAGGUUAUCAACAGGUAAUAACAUUUGAUUAAAAGUGAAGAAAUAACAAUUUCACAACUUGUUAGUUUCCUACUCCCAUUAUCAACCUCAACAAAUUAUUAACGCAUUUUUAAUUCAGUUUUAUCAAAAACCA
Molecule: RNA transcript, 1516 nt
Organism: Tribolium madens (black flour beetle)
Lineage: Eukaryota; Metazoa; Arthropoda; Insecta; Coleoptera; Tenebrionidae
Gene name: venom acid phosphatase Acph-1-like
Exons: 7
Source: RefSeq, a predicted model, not a curated record